UGAGUACGAGAUGCUACGGCAUCGAAGCAGUCUAUGUCAUACUUCCAAGAAAAGCUUGCACUGUCAGAAACAGAUAAUGCCUGUACCAUAACCGACACAGGUGGGUAGGUAGAGUAUACUAAGGGGCGCGAGAUAACUCUCUCUAAGGAACUCGGCAAAAUGACUCCGUAACUUCGGGAGAAGGAGUGCCUUAUUUUUAAGGUUGCAAUAACAAGAUCCAAGCAACUGUUUACCAAAAACACAGGUCUCCGCUAAGUCGUAAGACGAUGUAUGGGGGCUGACGCCUGCCCAGUGCCAGAAGGUUAAAGAAGUCGGUUAGCAUUCGCGAAGCUGGUAACUGAAGCCCUGGUGAACGGCGGCCGUAACGAUAACGGUCCUAAGGUAGCGAAAUUCCUUGUCGGGUAAGUUCCGACCCGCACGAAAGGCGUAAUGAUUUGGAUACUGUCUCGGAGAGGGGCUCGGUGAAAUAGACUUGUCUGUGAAGAUGCGGACUACCUGCACCUGGACAGAAAGACCCUAUGAAGCUUUACUGUAACUUGAAAUUGAAAUUGGACUUUAUUUGCGCAGUAUAGGUGGGAGGCGUUGAAAAUAUUCUUGCGGGAAUAUUGGAGCCAUCAGUGAGAUACCACUCUUGUAAUGUUAGAUUUCUAACUUUAUAUCAUUAUCUGGUUAAAGAACAGUUUCAGGCGGGCAGUUUGACUGGGGCGGUCGCCUCCCAAAUGGUAACGGAGGCGCACAAAGGUUUCCUCUGAACGGGUAGAAAUCGUAUCUAGAGUGUAAAGGCAUAAGGAAGCUUGACUGUGAGACCUACAAGUCGAGCAGGGACGAAAGUCGGUCUUAGUGUUCUGACGGUGCUGAGUGGAAAGGCCGUCACUCAACGGAUAAAAGUUACUCUAGGAUAACAGGCUGAUCUCCCCCAAGAGUUCACAUCGACGGGGAGGUUUGGCACCUCGAUGUCGGCUCAUCGCAUCCUGGGGCGGUAGUACGUCCCAAGGGUUGGGCUGUUCGCCCAUGAAAGCGGUACGCGAGCUGGGUUCAGAACGUCGUGGGACAGUUCGGUCCAUAUCCGGUGUAGGCGUUAGAAUAUUGAGAGGAGCCUUCUUUAGUACGAGAGGACCGAGAAGGACAUACCUCUGGUGUACCAGUUAUCGUGCCAACGGUAAACGCUGGGUAGCUAUGUAUGGAGUGGAUAACCGCUGAAAGCAUCUAAGUGGGAAGCCCACCUCAAGAUAAGUAUUCUC
RNAcentral lists this ribosomal RNA (1241 nucleotides) under metagenome. RNAcentral describes it as "bacterial LSU rRNA". It matches the Rfam family "Bacterial large subunit ribosomal RNA", at positions 1564 to 2815 of the family's 2925-position model. The record is from RNAcentral.